UACGUAGGGUGCGAGCGUUGUCCGGAAUUACUGGGCGUAAAGAGCUCGUAGGUGGUUUGUCGCGUUGUUCGUGAAAACUCACAGCUCAACUGUGGGCGUGCGGGCGAUACGGGCAGACUGGAGUACUGCAGGGGAGACUGGAAUUCCUGGUGUAGCGGUGGAAUGCGCAGAUAUCAGGAGGGACACCGGUGGCGAAGGCGGGUCUCUGGGCAGUAACUGACGCUGAGGAGCGAAAGCGUGGGGAGCGAACAGG
Molecule: ribosomal RNA, 253 nt
Filed under: uncultured bacterium
Lineage: Bacteria
Description: partial 16S ribosomal RNA
Rfam family: Bacterial small subunit ribosomal RNA
Source: RNAcentral